UACGUAGGGGGCUAGCGUUGUCCGGAAUCAUUGGGCGUAAAGAGCGUGUAGGCGGCCCGGUAAGUCCGCUGUGAAAGUCCAGGGCUCAACCCUGGGAUGCCGGUGGAUACUGUCGGGCUCGAGUCCGGAAGAGGCGAGUGGAAUUCCUGGUGUAGCGGUGAAAUGCGCAGAUAUCAGGAGGAACACCAAUGGCGAAGGCAGCUCGCUGGGACGUGACUGACGCUGAGACGCGAAAGCCAGGGGAGCAAACGGG
RNAcentral lists this ribosomal RNA (253 nucleotides) under uncultured bacterium. Its description in RNAcentral is "partial 16S ribosomal RNA". It matches the Rfam family "Bacterial small subunit ribosomal RNA", at positions 524 to 776 of the family's 1533-position model. The record is from RNAcentral.